CUCCUACGGGAGGCAGCAGUGGGGAAUCUUAGACAAUGGGCGCAAGCCUGAUCUAGCCAUGCCGCGUGAGUGAAGAAGGCCUUAGGGUCGUAAAGCUCUUUCGCCAGGGAUGAUAAUGACAGUACCUGGUAAAGAAACCCCGGCUAACUCCGUGCCAGCAGCCGCGGUAAU
RNAcentral lists this ribosomal RNA (171 nucleotides) under uncultured Paracoccaceae bacterium. RNAcentral describes it as "uncultured Rhodobacteraceae bacterium partial 16S ribosomal RNA". It matches the Rfam family "Bacterial small subunit ribosomal RNA", at positions 336 to 524 of the family's 1533-position model. The record is from RNAcentral. Lineage: Bacteria; Pseudomonadati; Pseudomonadota; Alphaproteobacteria; Rhodobacterales; Paracoccaceae.